AUCGGGUUGCACAAUCCCUGAGGGGUUGGACUGUCUUAGCCUAGCUCUAGAGCAUCAGGUCCUAAGUGGAGUGCGAAGUUACGUCAGGACAUUUUAAACCGGAGGCAAACUCCAGUGUCGCCUGCACAAACGUAAUCAGCCCAUUCCCCCGAAAUUUUGGAGUUUAACACGUCUCUCGAGAUCAGAGUGAAACGAAGUUUCAGUCCCUUUGAGAUCUCUGAGCGCACAACGUCCGACUGCUAUCAUUUCAAGGCGCUAAAGAGUGCGAACCAAGCUAGGGAAAAACUAUUUGGUGCGGAAAUUCGUGUCUUUUCCGCCCACCAUUGGGGGCCGCACCGGCCGGGUCCCGAGCGAUGCCCUGGCGUGGAGUUUGGGGGCGCAACGGGGCCCGGCGGGGGCGGCGAGCGCGCGUUCCCCCGCCCGCUCGGGCGGCGUCGAGGCGCGAGCAGCUCAGCCAGCCUUGCAGAGGGAGCUCUCGGCAGUUCAGGGGUCCCUCUGCUCGCAGCCACACCAGCGCCGCCUGCGCCACUCGGCGGUGACGGAGACCAGCAGCGGCGAUGAUCGGACUCGGAGAAACUACGGAGCACCCCAGCCGCUGGAGAAGCACUCGGGGCGGCCGGCUUUGAAUACAUGAGAAAGAAGAGUGAGAAACAAGAAGAAAAGACGAGGUUGGAAGAGGGCAAGAGGAAAGAGGCGGAUGGAAGGGAACUCCUGCAGCCACCAACACAGUAAAUUGUAUCCUGAACCACCUCA
Molecule: long non-coding RNA, 753 nt
Organism: Peromyscus eremicus (cactus mouse)
Lineage: Eukaryota; Metazoa; Chordata; Mammalia; Rodentia; Cricetidae
Exons: 2
Source: RefSeq, a predicted model, not a curated record